Molecule: long non-coding RNA, 776 nt
Filed under: Nicotiana benthamiana
Lineage: Eukaryota; Viridiplantae; Streptophyta; Magnoliopsida; Solanales; Solanaceae
Description: long non-coding RNA (NBEN_LNC037451)
Source: RNAcentral
AAAUUUAUCUAUAUAAGGGCCUGUCUUCAGUAAAUGGAGAAUCACAAGAUUGAAAAAUUUAGAAACGGUUGAGCCUUCUUUUUGGACUCUGAAAACACUGAAAGUUGUUUGAGAUUUAUUUGGUUCUGUUCUUGGAGUUCUCUUGUUAGUCAGAAUUUGUAAAAGCUCCAAAGAUUUGUGCUCAUCUGGGUUUUUAGACUAGUUUGAAAGAAGUUGGUUUGAUUAGGUUGUUUAGCUGUUCUGAUGGUGUUGCUAAUUCUUCAUUCUCUUUGUUUCUCUCUUGACUUCCAGAUAUCUUUCAAAUCAUGGGUAACACAUGAGGUGUAACGUGCAAUUUGAAUGAAGAUACAUGGUGAAUACGAUUUGUUUUUACUGAAUCUUGUUUCCCUACUUCUCCAUUUCAUUCAUGUUUUUGUAAUAAUUUAAUCUUAUGUGAAUUCUAUUAGCCUUUUCAUGUUGUGAAUGUGGUAUAAGGUAAAUUGCCUUUGGUUUUAGUCUAAUUUUUCUGAAGGCUAGUGUGAUCUCUAGAUUUAAGUUAGUUGCAUGUUGAUCUCAUGGAUUUUUUUUGGCUACUGCUUGUAUUAGAGAGGUUUCGAUUGAGGCUUAAAGUUCACACAAUUAUUUAUAGGUCAACUUGGGACUGAAUUUAGUUCGAAUGCUGUGCAUCUUUGUCUUCAUGUCAUUAGCUUAAUCGAAAUUAAAACAGUAAUUAUCUUAGACGUGUAAUAUGGUCCUGGUUUGUGUAUAGCAGGCGUGACCUAAAUGUUUGAAAGCCC